Long non-coding RNA from Tribolium castaneum (red flour beetle), 2068 nucleotides. RefSeq lists it as uncharacterized. The transcript is spliced from 2 exons. The record is from RefSeq and is a predicted model, not a curated record. NCBI's taxonomy places the organism in Eukaryota, Metazoa, Arthropoda, Insecta, Coleoptera, Tenebrionidae.
CUAGGUCCUCGUAUAUUAAAAAAAAAUGAAGCAACUUAAAGUGACUAAAUAUUUUGCUAUUACUUAUUAAUUAAUUAGUUUAUUAGUUAUUUUUUCUAGUAGUUAUGGUGAUUUAAGAAAAUAGAUGACAAAAAACAAAAAAAUCAGAAGUUGAGCCCUCUGUACCAUAGUGCCAGGAUCAGAUGACCCACUAACUAUGAGUGUAAUCGCCCAAAAAGAUUUAAAUAAUUCUAAGUCGUCAUUACUUCUUUUUACAUGCUGCCACAUUUGUCACUUAAGCUUAAAAAUUUGAAACAAUCCCUCAUUGAACACCUCAUAUUGCAGUAGAUAUACUCAACCCAAUCGUUCCUUUUUGAUGGUUGAUUAAUUGAUUAUACAUACUUUUCUUCACAGCUCGCCCAGUCCACUUUUACCAGCUACUGUUUCUAGAAUUGGGUGUUUCAAAAUUCAAUGAGGUUUUUUCUGACUACAAACUAUCCAUCUUUUUUUUAAAUAAGCUGUAUUUUUUUUAUUUGUUUUACACCCUUUCCUUUUUUUUGCUUUUAAAAUCUUAUAUUCUUCUUUCUACCGUUGUUAUAUAAAUUGUAGUAUAGUAGGAAAUGAUGUGCCAUAUUAUAUCUCAUAUAAAAUUGAGUCAUCUCUCCUGUUCUUGUGGGAGAUAACCAGCUGUUUUUUUUUAAUGAAGGUAACGUCAUCCUUAUAACCAUACUCCUUAGAGUAUGAUGAAACACUUAUAAGACACUAGAAAGAAUUAUUCGGAUUAGAAUUUUUUUAAAAAAGAAAGCAUGAUCUAAUUAACAAUAAAUUUUAAGCAUGUAUGAAAACUUAGAUAUAACUUACUUUCUGGUUGCUUUUCACAUCGCGUUUUCAUAUCACUAUUUCUAAUGACAUAAACACUAUUACCUAGUAUGACAAACAGGCGCCUAGUUUGCAUUUACAGGACUAACAAGAAUAGUUUCAAUGAGUCAUCUCAUCCGCCGGGGAAAUCCUUAGGCAGUAAACAGUUUAACAAAAAUUAAAUUCGAUUGUGUAAUUUUUUUCGUUUUUGUGAACACCUCUGGUUGUAUUUACUAGUUUCCAUAAUCGACUUUAUACUUUAAAACUAUAGUAAUUGUGUCUUUUGCUUUUUCCUAUAAUAAAAUUUGCUGCUUCUUCGUUUUUGAUUUUGACUGCGUAUUUCUUGUUUUGAGUUCUGUGUGAAUGUAGGUAAAUUAAUUUCUAGUAACAUUAUUAAACAUGUGGAAAAAAGUGCAGUUAAUGUUACAAUUUAAUAAAUUUUAUUUAGACUGAACAUAAUAAGUUUUACUUUAUCUCACAAAUUAAUAAUCAGACAGAAUUCAGCGAUUUGCUGUUAAAUAUUUAUUGUGUUCAGAAUAUUUCUGCAGCUUAUUAAAAGUAAUUGAUUAACUAAAAUUAAGUCGCUUAAAAGAAAUUGUCAUUUUAGAACAAUCAUAAUGUAAUUUUAUUUUGUGCAAACGUAAUGUAAAAGCAAUUGAUUAAAAUUGUUUCUUUUCCAUCGAAUCCGCAUCCCAAAACUUACUUUCUCAACUUUUUCUAAAUUAAUUUAUCUCUGUAAAUAUUUUCAUUAUCAUGUAAUAAUAACUUACUACUCGAUCAAAUGUUAGUUACCGUUCAAAUUUGUAAGUUAAGUAUAAAAUUUAAUGUUAGAUUCAUAAUUAAUAAAAAAAUGGCUAAUUGGCUUUAUGAACAAUCAAAUAUUUGAUUACUUAUUAUUUACAAUUUUAUGCUAUUGUUAGGACUUAAUUGUACUCGUAAUUACUUGUAGGAAGAACAAUCUAUAUUCGAUUUACUGAUUUGUAUAUUAACGUCGUUCCAAACUUCAAUUAUCAAUCAGUUCAGAAUGAAAUUCUUUGGAGUUGCAUUAUUUUUCUGCUUACUUGUCGCCGCAAGUUUUGCAAUCCCUGCUGAGCUAUUAGAGCCUAAAGCAGAAGGAGAUGGUGGUUUUUCGCCAAGGCAACGACGUUUGCCGCCCUACUGUGGCUGGGGCAAAGAACCUUGUUAUUAAAAAUUUCAUCGGGUAUCAAUGAAAUAAAGCAAUUAUAACACA